This 497-nucleotide ribosomal RNA is filed under the name uncultured bacterium. RNAcentral describes it as "partial 16S ribosomal RNA". It matches the Rfam family "Bacterial small subunit ribosomal RNA", at positions 28 to 507 of the family's 1533-position model. The record is from RNAcentral.
GACGAACGCUGGCGGCGUGCCUAAUACAUGCAAGUCGAACGCUGAAGCUUGGUGCUUGCACCGAGCGGAUGAGUUGCGAACGGGUGAGUAACGCGUAGGUAACCUGCCUGUUAGCGGGGGAUAACUAUUGGAAACGAUAGCUAAUACCGCAUAAGAGUAUAUAUUGCAUGAUAUUUGCUUAAAAGGUGCAAUUGCAUCACUACCAGAUGGACCUGCGUUGUAUUAGCUAGUUGGUGAGGUAACGGCUCACCAAGGCAACGAUACAUAGCCGACCUGAGAGGGGGAACGGCCACACUGGGAAUGAGACACGGCCCAAACUCCUACGGGAGGCAGCAGGAGGGAAUCUUCGGCAAGGGACGGAAGUCUGACCGAGCAACGCCGCGUGAGUGAAGAAGGGUUUCGGAUCGUAAAGCUCUGUUGUAAGAGAAGAACGAGGGUGAGAGUGGAAAGUUCACAAUGUGACGGUAACUAACCAGAAAGGGACGGCUAACUACGUG